This 229-nucleotide unclassified non-coding RNA is filed under the name plant metagenome. Its description in RNAcentral is "partial contains small subunit ribosomal RNA, internal transcribed spacer 1, and 5.8S ribosomal RNA". The record is from RNAcentral.
UCUCCGUAGGUGAACCUGCGGAGGGAUCAUUACAGAGUUCAUGCCCUACCGGGUAGAUCUCCCACCCUAUGUUAUUAUUACUUUGUUGCUUUGGCGGGCCGUUAGGUUCCGGCCCGACUACCGGCCCCGGCUGGUAAGCGCCCGCCAGAGGACCCAAAACCCUGAAUAUUAGUGACGUCUGAGUACUAUAUAAUAGUUAAAACUUUUAACAACGGAUCUCUUGGUUCUG